RNAcentral lists this long non-coding RNA (1994 nucleotides) under Homo sapiens (human). RNAcentral describes it as "HSALNT0393554". The record is from RNAcentral. Lineage: Eukaryota; Metazoa; Chordata; Mammalia; Primates; Hominidae.
GCCCUCUUCAUCACUAACAAUUCUGUUUUCACACUUAUCCAGCCAAGUUGCGAGAGAAACCCCUGAAGUAGUCUAAAACACAUAUUCAGUUAUCAAAAUUUUUGGUCCUCAAGUCACUUUGAUUUUACUAAAAGCAAUCAUUUGAAGGACAUCUUGUCAGCUGGAAUCCCAAACAAACAGACGAGCGUGAAACAGGAGAAAAAAGAACAGAAAAAUAAACGUGAAAGAGCUACAUAAUGUGAGAUACCAUCUACUCAAAAGUGUUUUAAUAAGCAGAUUUUGUUGAUUUAUACAUUUCUAUUGCGUGAAUAGAUUCAUUGGAUCUGUAAAACAACACCGGAUUUUAAGGGAUUUUAAACUACAUUUGCUUAAAGACACGGGGCAUUAUCCAAGGGCUGCCAUUCUGUAUGUUGAUACAGCUGUUGACCUACCAGAACCUACAUACUUGAUGAUAAUAACUCAAAAACUGUCUCUUUACCAGCCUUUAAUCAAGUAGGAAAGAUUUGUUGGAGCUCUCACUGCCUUCUAUAAAACCUGCUGUUUGGUACCCAUGGAAUACCAAAUUCUCACAACUGCUAGGCCACUCGCUAGUGCUGUAUAUCCAUACAAUUCUGUCCCAGACCCUGCCUUGUAUGCCUAGCAACAUGUGAAGAUUUCUAUUUCUAAAUCCAGUCAUUCCAGUUGUACUUAUUACUGUCAUUAUGCAGUCUCAUUAAAUAUUAUUAAAAGCAAUUAUUAUGGAUAUGAAGAACAAAAGAUCUACUUCCUCUACAAAAACCAAAUCAAAUGCAUUGAAAAGAGACAAUAAAGUCAGGUCACCUUAAAAAUAAAUACUGUCAUCUUAAGUUUGACCAAGACAACCAUAAAAGAUUGAGGAAGGAAAUCAGAUCAUUUAAAAAUGGGAAGAAUAGUGGUCUUAGAUUGCUUUGUAAGUUUCUGUAAGUUCCUCCUUCACCUAAGAAACUGAAGCUUCACAUGGCCAAUGAUGCUGUGUAGGUGUCACUUGUCUGUGAGAGCCAAUGAAGAACAUUAAUCAGAAGAACCAAACUCAAGAACAAGGUCAUUUCCUGCUUCACAAGGGCCAUCUUUACUUUGAAAGAUACAGAAAGACUGUGUAUAUCCUUGCUUGUGAUCUUCCCAAUCAGUAGCAUCUGUUUCUAGGUCAGAUGGCAUACAAGUUCCUCCUCUGCUAAGAGUUACUGCUUUUGUGCCUCCCCAAAAAGAUAUAAUAAAAAUAAGAUUGAAUAUGGUCUUUUAAUCUUGGAGUCAUAAAAGAAAUGUUGAGGGGCAGGGGCUCAAAUCACUCCCAGAUGAGACACCACAACUUGAAAAGUGAUAGAGCAUAUGGCUUUGCAUGUGUGAGGCUUCCUCUUGGAAAACAAUAAAGGCAAAUCACAGACAGGAUCGGGAACACUGAUUAUUGCUUGGGUGUAAUUUAUUAUAUCUUAGAUUCUGGAAAACAAAACAUAGCAACAUGCUUCACUCUUGUCAUGCAGAGAAUCUGUGACUAUUUCUCUGUAGAUAAUCAGAGCCCGGAUAAUGGUCCUGAGAUUGUCUAGGUGCCACUGUGAAAAAUGCCUCAACCACAAAUGGAUUUCUAAGUAGCCAGACCUAAUGGGCCACCUUUAAUGAUCAACAGAGCCAAAUCUUGUUAUUUCAUACUUAAGGUGAAUGAAAAGAUGCCAGUGUGUUCUCUCAGAUGUAUAUCUCCAGACGGGGAAGUUUCCUGUGGAUGUCACAGCCAGAGGCUAGUAUAUUCUGCUAAGCCCCAAGAUUACUGUGUCGGUCACCUAGGACCGCCAGAGCAUUCUUAACACUUCUGGAAACCUGCUCCGCAAAGUCAAUAGGUCAAAAGGAUUUCCUGUAUCUCAAAAGUGUGACAGUAAAUUACACAAGGAAUCCACUUGAAAUACAAUAUGAAGAGCGUACCGUAAUGUGGCUUAAACUCUGAUUCCUGCCACUCUUGCUGUCAUCUAGGCAUAGCAGGAAGGAUG